RNAcentral lists this long non-coding RNA (985 nucleotides) under Monodelphis domestica (gray short-tailed opossum). RNAcentral describes it as "lncRNA (ENSMODG00000049453.1)". The record is from RNAcentral. Lineage: Eukaryota; Metazoa; Chordata; Mammalia; Didelphimorphia; Didelphidae.
CUAUUUUGUUGGCUAUAUAUGUAUACAUUUUCUGAGGUUUGAUCUGCUAUAAUUUGGUCAAAUUGGGUAUUAUUGAUUAGAUACUGUGUGUGCUUAUUAUGGAACUGAUAUUUGGUAGGCAUAGAGUCAAGCCUUAAAUAAAGAUCUAAGGAUCCUGCUCUCCUCCAAUAAUGACUCAGUGAUCAGAAGUUAGACUCAACCUGACCAUAUGCCUUAGAACAAUGAAGAUGAAUCUUUUAGAGACUGAGUGCCCAAACUGCAACCCUCAUACCACAGAAUAGAAUAGCCAAGUUUUGGAGCCAAGCCAACUGCUUCUUCUCCUGACAUGAAUUAGUAACCUUUGGAGAUGGGAUGAAUAAGAAGAGUCUCAAGAUGUCUAUUGUGUUACCCUUAACAUCAUACAAUGACAGACUUCGUGCUACACAUGAUGCUUCCUUGCCACAGUGGAUCAUGGCCAGAUAUGAAGAGGAAAUGGAUCUCAUUUUGAAACUGAACUGUUUGGAGAUGCCUCCAGACCACAAGCUACAUAAGAAGAUCAAGAAUAAACUUUGGGUGUGGUUGAUUGAACAUUUAUUUGUAUGUAUACUUUCAUGCCAAAGGGGACUUCCCCCUAAAUGGUUUUUUGUCAAUGCGUCUAGCAAUUAUUGGUUUUGUUCUUUUCCUCUUAUCCUCAAAUUAUUGUAAUCUUUAAGUUGAUUGUGUUUUCAUGAUCCUUUUGGGGAAAUUUUUCCCAAUAAGAUCAAACAAGGGGAUGUAAAAUGGAGAUUUGAAGCCCAGACUUGAAUUCCCAGAAGUCCUUGGUAGUUCCCAGAAUUCCCUAAAAUCUCACCUGAGGUCCUCACCUGGGCUGAGAAAAAAAGAGGUAUUUAAACUGACUGUACCACAUAUUUCCGCUCUCUCUCAGCUUCCACUUCUAGGCUGACGCGGCUCUCUACCAGACAGGCAAGAUAUAGGUUGCACGUGCUUUUCUUAUUUUGUAUUUUCU